GAAGGUAUAGCUCAAGUGGUAGAGCACAUGCUUAGCAUGCUCAAGGUCCUGGGUUCAAUCCCCAGUACCUCCU
Transfer RNA from Camelus ferus (Wild Bactrian camel), 73 nucleotides. It matches the Rfam family "tRNA". Rfam says of the family: Transfer RNA (tRNA) molecules are approximately 80 nucleotides in length. Their secondary structure includes four short double-helical elements and three loops (D, anti-codon, and T loops). Lineage: Eukaryota; Metazoa; Chordata; Mammalia; Artiodactyla; Camelidae. The record is from Rfam.